AAGAAUAUNCCUUUAGACUGGGAUAACAGAGGGAAACUUCUGAUAAUACUGGAUAAGUUAGUAUAUCGCAUGAUAUGCAAAUGAAAGCUACGGCACUAAAGGAGAGCUUUGCGUCCUAUUAGCUAGUUGGUAAGGUAAGAGCUUACCAAGGCGAUAAUAGGUAGCCGGCCUGAGAGGGUGGACGGCCACAAGGGGACUGAGAUACGGCCCAGACUCCUACGGGAGGCAGCAGCC
RNAcentral lists this ribosomal RNA (234 nucleotides) under uncultured Leptotrichia sp. Its description in RNAcentral is "partial 16S ribosomal RNA". It matches the Rfam family "Bacterial small subunit ribosomal RNA", at positions 120 to 355 of the family's 1533-position model. Lineage: Bacteria; Fusobacteriati; Fusobacteriota; Fusobacteriia; Fusobacteriales; Leptotrichiaceae. The record is from RNAcentral.